This is a long non-coding RNA of Amphiprion ocellaris (clown anemonefish), 735 nucleotides long. NCBI's taxonomy places the organism in Eukaryota, Metazoa, Chordata, Actinopteri, Pomacentridae. The record is from Ensembl.
CAGGACCUCACCACACGGGUCAAGAAGGUUUCUGUCUCAUUUCUACUCUGAAGCUCACCUUCUCCUGCUCAAACUGCUGACAAAUGUUUCUGCUGCUCUAAAGUCUGGUCUCCAGAACUUCCUAAAAACUCUCAAAGUCUCUUCUGCUGCAGGUUGCUUUGUAGAACUGUUCCAGAAAACCUCACUAAACCACAUGGAGGGGCCUCAAGAUAGUCGUCCAAAUGAAACCAUACAAAAACCAAACUAGCACAACCCAAACGCUAAAGUCUCCUGCAGCCUACCAGAGAACCUCUGAGAACAGAGAAUCAGGACAGGAACUCUUACCUUCUGGACAACCAACGUUGGUUCACAAACAAGAAUACAGAAUGUGUCUGACCAAAAACCUCUAAAGACUCACUACAGCCAAGAUAAAGACACAACUCAGCUGUACCAAAUCCACUAAUCACUGCACACAUGUGCUAACUGUGGCUAAAGAACCACAUUUACCAAGACAACUAUCCAGUACAAAGCCCUAAAACACACCAAGAAACACAUUAAAGACAAUUUUACUGCUGGAAGCUGCAAGCCAACGCCUAAAGAACAAACUAAAGCAAUGGAGCCAAACCCAGUUCAUGGUGAAGAGAAGCAGAGGAAAUGUUUGUCUGCAGCUAAAUAAAGCAGGAAGACACUGAGCUGCUCAGGUGUUCCUGAUAACACCAAGCAGCCACCUGGACAGCCAAUAGGAACACAGCUUCC